CCAGCUUCCUUUGCCUUCUGGCUUAGAUCAAGUGUAGUAACUGUUCUUAUUAGCUUAAUCGCUGAUAGUCCUGUACUCAGGACUUGACUGAUUAUUCCAAUCUUUGGUCCUCGUGACUUGGCCCCUGUGCUUGCACAUGCCUUGUUGCACUGUGUCGCUGGGCUUACACUACCCCCGGCUGAUGCGAAUACUU
Molecule: small nuclear RNA, 193 nt
Filed under: Penicillium coprophilum
Lineage: Eukaryota; Fungi; Ascomycota; Eurotiomycetes; Eurotiales; Aspergillaceae
Description: U2 spliceosomal RNA
Rfam family: U2 spliceosomal RNA
About the family: U2 is a small nuclear RNA (snRNA) component of the spliceosome (involved in pre-mRNA splicing). Complementary binding between U2 snRNA (in an area lying towards the 5' end but 3' to hairpin I) and the branchpoint sequence (BPS) of the intron results the bulging out of an unpaired adenosine, on the BPS, which initiates a nucleophilic attack at the intronic 5' splice site, thus starting the first of two transesterification reactions that mediate splicing.
Source: Rfam by way of RNAcentral